AUGUAUGCAUACAUAGAGAAUACUGAUGAUCGAUCAACAUAUACAUGUAUGCAGAGCAACCUGGCCAUGAAAGUGAAUACAGUCGAAAAGCUACUUCUCUUGGUGUUGGUGACCUUCAGUGCACAUCAUGUGGUCGUCGUGUGCAGCUCCUCCUUCUUACAUGGAAAUGACACAGAUAUGUUAUCACUGCUUGACUUUAAGGAUGCAAUCAGUCUCGAUCCACAACAAGCCUUCAUGUCUUGGAAUGAUAGCACCCACUUUUGCAAUUGGGAAGGUGUCUUGUGCACAGUGAAGGCUCCACGUCGUGUCAUCUCUCUAAACCUUACAAGUCGAGGUUUAAUAGGACAAAUCUCUCCUUCACUUGGGAACCUAACAUUUCUACAUUCUCUAGCCCUGAAGAGAACACACUUACUGGAGACAUCCCAACCUCCCUCGGUCACCUGCAUCGCCUCCAAACCCUACGUCUGA
This 468-nucleotide ribosomal RNA is filed under the name Triticum aestivum (bread wheat). Its description in RNAcentral is "partial small subunit ribosomal RNA". Lineage: Eukaryota; Viridiplantae; Streptophyta; Magnoliopsida; Poales; Poaceae. The record is from RNAcentral.